GAUGAACGCUGGCGGCGUGCCUAACACAUGCAAGUCGAACGAAGCCUUCGGGCUUAGUGGCGCACGGGUGCGUAACGCGUGGGAAUCUGCCCUUUGGUUCGGAAUAACAGUUGGAAACGACUGCUAAUACCGGAUGAUGACGAAAGUCCAAAGAUUUAUCGCCAGAGGAUGAGCCCGCGUAGGAUUAGCUAGUUGGUGUGGUAAAGGCGCACCAAGGCGACGAUCCUUAGCUGGUCUGAGAGGAUGAUCAGCCACACUGGGACUGAGACACGGCCCAGACUCCUACGGGAGGCAGCAGUGGGGAAUAUUGGACAAUGGGCGAAAGCCUGAUCCAGCAAUGCCGCGUGAGUGAUGAAGGCCCUAGGGUUGUAAAGCUCUUUUACCCGGGAUGAUAAUGACAGUACCGGGAGAAUAAGCCCCGGCUAACUCCGUGCCAGCCGCCGCAGUAA
This 449-nucleotide ribosomal RNA is filed under the name uncultured bacterium. RNAcentral describes it as "partial 16S ribosomal RNA". It matches the Rfam family "Bacterial small subunit ribosomal RNA", at positions 28 to 523 of the family's 1533-position model. The record is from RNAcentral.